Long non-coding RNA from Leptinotarsa decemlineata (Colorado potato beetle), 615 nucleotides. The record is from RefSeq and is a predicted model, not a curated record. Lineage: Eukaryota; Metazoa; Arthropoda; Insecta; Coleoptera; Chrysomelidae.
UUGAAAUAUUUUCAUUUCAGAGGAUUAUCUCGAAGGUGGUGCCUCCGAAUACGAAACUGUCAGCGACUCCUCCGAUUGUGACAGUGACCUCGAAUUUGAAGAUGUCGAUGAGGAUGAAUUAAAACAUGAUAUUGGUAACAAUCCUUUACCACCAGAGCCACAGACUAAUGGAUUCGAUAAAUUCACUCAGAAUCUAAGGAAACUCAAGAAGUCUUUCUCUAGGGAUAUUACUAAAUCAUUGAGAAGGAUUUCCAAACGUAUGUCGCUAGUGGAAACAGAAUCAAAAGAUCAAGUUCAAGAAACCCGUGUUCCCGUUAUUCUUACUGAUGAACCAAAACCGGAGUUGGGCUCAGAAAGUGAAGUUCAGAAGUCUGAUAGUAUUUUCAAUAGAAUCAGACGAAGUGUUUCCAUUUCUGCGGUAUCUCUGGCAAACCAGCGAAAAAGUACUUUCUAUUUGAGUGGUGACAUUGACGUUGGUGAAAAUGGGAAAGCAAAGGAAUCUACCAAGAAAAAAUCGGUUUCAAAUAAUUCACCUUCACCUAUUAACGUCAAAUCUAGGGUGGUGAGACCGAAAAUACCACCUCCUCCAAUUCCAGUAAAAAAUGUAGGUACGUA